GAGUUAUGUCAUGUUAUCGAUAUGUGAAUACAUAGCAUAUCAGAAGGCACACCCGGAGAACUGAAACAUCUUAGUACCCGGAGGAAGAGAAAGAAAAUUCGAUUCCCUUAGUAGCGGCGAGCGAAACGGGAAGAGCCCAAACCAACAAGCUUGCUUGUUGGGGUUGUAGGACACUCUAUACGGAGUUACAAAGGACGACAUUAGACGAAUCAUCUGGAAAGAUGAAUCAAAGAAGGUAAUAAUCCUGUAGUCGAAAAUGUUGUCUCUCUUGAGUGGAUCCUGAGUACGACGGAGCACGUGAAAUUCCGUCGGAAUCUGGGAGGACCAUCUCCUAAGGCUAAAUACUCUCUAGUGACCGAUAGUGAACCAGUACCGUGAGGGAAAGGUGAAAAGCACCCCGGAAGGGGAGUGAAAUAGAACCUGAAACCGUGUGCUUACAAGUAGUCAGAGCCCGUUAAUGGGUGAUGGCGUGCCUUUUGUAGAAUGAACCGGCGAGUUACGAUUUGAUGCAAGGUUAAGCAGUAAAUGUGGAGCCGUAGCGAAAGCGAGUCUGAAUAGGGCGUUUAGUAUUUGGUCGUAGACCCGAAACCAGGUGAUCUACCCUUGGUCAGGUUGAAGUUCAGGUAACACUGAAUGGAGGACCGAACCGACUUACGUUGAAAAGUGAGCGGAUGAACUGAGGGUAGCGGAGAAAUUCCAAUCGAACCUGGAGAUAGCUGGUUCUCUCCGAAAUAGCUUUAGGGCUAGCCUCAAGUGAUGAUUAUUGGAGGUAGAGCACUGUUUGGACGAGGGGCCCCUCUCGGGUUACCGAAUUCAGACAAACUCCGAAUGCCAAUUAAUUUAACUUGGGAGUCAGAACAUGGGUGAUAAGGUCCGUGUUCGAAAGGGAAACAGCCCAGACCACCAGCUAAGGUCCCAAAAUAUAUGUUAAGUGGAAAAGGAUGUGGCGUUGCCCAGACAACUAGGAUGUUGGCUUAGAAGCAGCCAUCAUUUAAAGAG
This 999-nucleotide ribosomal RNA is filed under the name Staphylococcus aureus. RNAcentral describes it as "partial 23S ribosomal RNA". It matches the Rfam family "Bacterial large subunit ribosomal RNA", at positions 135 to 1130 of the family's 2925-position model. Lineage: Bacteria; Bacillati; Bacillota; Bacilli; Caryophanales; Staphylococcaceae. The record is from RNAcentral.